Molecule: ribosomal RNA, 460 nt
Filed under: uncultured bacterium
Lineage: Bacteria
Description: partial 16S ribosomal RNA
Rfam family: Bacterial small subunit ribosomal RNA
Source: RNAcentral
CCUACGGGUGGCUGCAGUGAGGAAUAUUGGUCAAUGGACGAGAGUCUGAACCAGCCAAGUAGCGUGAAGGAUGACUGCCCUAUGGGUUGUAAACUUCUUUUAUAUGGGAAUAAAACGUUCCACGUGUGGGAUUUUGUAUGUACCAUAUGAAUACGGAUCGGCUAACUCCGUGCCAGCAGCCGCGGUAAUACGGAGGAUCCGAGCGUUAUCCGGAUUUAUUGGGUUUAAAGGGAGCGUAGGUGGAUUGUUAAGUCAGUUGUGAAAGUUUGCGGCUCAACCGUAAAAUUGCAGUUGAAACUGGCAGUCUUGAGUACAGUAGAGGUGGGCGGAAUUCGUGGUGUAGCGGUGAAAUGCUUAGAUAUCACGAAGAACUCCGAUUGCGAAGGCAGUUCACUGGACUGCAACUGACACUGAGGCUCGAAAGUGUGGGUAUCAAACAGGAUUAGAUACCCUUGUAGUC